Molecule: ribosomal RNA, 253 nt
Filed under: uncultured bacterium
Lineage: Bacteria
Description: partial 16S ribosomal RNA
Rfam family: Bacterial small subunit ribosomal RNA
Source: RNAcentral
UACGAAGGGUGCAAGCGUUGUUCGGAAUUACUGGGCGUAAAGCGCGCGUAGGCUGUUUGAUAAGUUGGAAGUGAAAUCCCGGGGCUCAACUUCGGAAUUGCUUUCAAAACUAUCAGACUAGAGUAUGGCAGGGGACAGUGGAAUUCCUAGUGUAGAGGUGAAAUUCGUAGAUAUUAGGAGGAACACCAGUGGCGAAAGCGACUGUCUGGACCAUUACUGACGCUGAGGCGCGAAAGCGUGGGGAGCAAACAGG